UCUGCGAUGGCCGAGUGGUUAAGGCGUUGGACUUGAAAUCCAAUGGGAUCUUCCCGCGUAGGUUCGAACCCUACUCGCAGCG
Molecule: transfer RNA, 82 nt
Filed under: Strongylocentrotus purpuratus (purple sea urchin)
Lineage: Eukaryota; Metazoa; Echinodermata; Echinoidea; Camarodonta; Strongylocentrotidae
Description: tRNA-Ser (TGA) (tRNA-Ser-TGA-6-1)
Rfam family: tRNA
About the family: Transfer RNA (tRNA) molecules are approximately 80 nucleotides in length.
Source: RNAcentral